AAUCAUCGUGAUAUUAUUACAGA
RNAcentral lists this small nuclear RNA (23 nucleotides) under Arabidopsis thaliana (thale cress). RNAcentral's name for it is "snRNA_08873". The record is from RNAcentral. Lineage: Eukaryota; Viridiplantae; Streptophyta; Magnoliopsida; Brassicales; Brassicaceae.